AGAGUCAGUCCCCCGGGACGGGCGGCCCGGAGCGGUGUCACCGCCGAGGCAGCGCUGACACGGCUGUGCUGAUCUCACUGUGAGUUUGCCCUUGCCGAGAAUGUCGGACGAGACGUCAGGUCUGUUGCUGCUGUCCACUCUAGGCUGUAUGAAAAACUAUAGCCAGGUCACACUGACUGGUUGUUCAAAGGCCUUGCGGGAAAACGUGCUGUAAGGAGGAUUGUCCAAUUAGCAUCAGAGCCAGGAGAAGAAAAAAGGUCCUCACAGCGAGAGCACUGUCAGGCACAAAGCUGCUCGGGGGGUCACCAGCCCAAGUACAGGAUGAUUUAGAAAGCAUAUUAGUGUUGCUGGCUAGUGCAAACGUCAUAAGAUGCUCAGCUGACUCUCUCCCUCUUCCACCAGUCUUGGAGCUGCAUGGCUUUCUCCAACCCAUGUGAUACCACUCAAUUGAAUGUCUUUGAGGUAGAGAAGAUUUCCUUGGAAGUUCUGCAGAGUCCUGGCAAUCUGUGUCCAGUAAUGUUGUCCCCAUCUCUCAACGAACCGGAUUGGUGCUUCAAGAACAUGGGAUCUCCCCUCAGAACUCCAAAGAAAUUAAUGUGAAUUUUACUUUGUCUCAUUCAAACGCCUUUUACAGUUCACACUUUCAACAAGAUUUCAUGCAAGGAAAAAG
Long non-coding RNA from Manacus vitellinus (golden-collared manakin), 670 nucleotides. RefSeq lists it as uncharacterized. Lineage: Eukaryota; Metazoa; Chordata; Aves; Passeriformes; Pipridae. The record is from RefSeq and is a predicted model, not a curated record. The transcript is spliced from 3 exons.